AUUUCAAAAUGGUAUUAAAAAGCCCCAGUAGGGGGUUUUUGGAGUUUUGCAGAUGAUGAUCUAUAAGCAUCUGUGUCUGCAAAUAUCCUGUUUUCUUGUUACAAUCAUCCUGGCAUCUUUAAUGGAAUCAGCUAAGCAGGUUGAUCCAAGGCCAUACAGCUGCAUUGCAUUAAAGAUGAUGUUGAAUGCAGGCAAUUAAACCUCUGAGCUGGGCACAGGAGAGGGGGCAGAGAUGCUGCGGGAAUUGGGCUGGGAAAAAAGGGGCUGGGGCAGCUGCUAGCUCCUUCUUGCUCACCUGGCAUUUGGAAGGGAAGGAGGCUGUAGUCGCUGCAGGAAGAAUUCACCACAACUGUGGGGUUCCGUCUCCUGCUGCCUGCUACGGACUCUUCACCAUCUGCUACAGCUGUGGAGUUUCUGCUACCUCUUGCUUGCUGCCUUGGUGAGCCCGCCCUGCUGUUCCAGCCGCUGCUGCGGGCUCCUGCUGCAGCGCAUUGCCGCCAUUCAGCCCGGCCGCC
This is a long non-coding RNA of Passer domesticus (house sparrow), 515 nucleotides long. RefSeq lists it as uncharacterized. The record is from RefSeq and is a predicted model, not a curated record. The transcript is spliced from 4 exons. Lineage: Eukaryota; Metazoa; Chordata; Aves; Passeriformes; Passeridae.